UGGUGCUUCAAAAAUAGACGUGAGAUUUUAAAAAUAGUUUCUUCCAGCUACGGGAAUGUAGGCUCCAGUUAAGCAGACUGACAUCUGGCGAAUUAAGUUGCCAUGGUAACAGGUUUUCAGGUCAAGCCUGGAGACUGGGUCAGCCCUCCCCUCUGUCAUGGGAACAGUCUUCCAGGGGGGUCAGUGAAAAGAACAUCUUUGACAACACACACUUUCAGUCAAGCCACCAGUGCCCUAAGGUCUCUACCUUUUGUCAUCUUCAUAUAAAAGCUCUAAGAAAGAAUUCCUUAAAAAAGAAGCCCUCAGGUGUUCACUUCCUGUGAUAUGUGAUCAUAGCUAGCUUCUACAAAUGGCAGGGGCAAAUUUUCCUAAAAAUCUUAACUUUUGUAUUCCAGCAUAAAUACUUCUAAUUUCUCCUCUGCAGGAGCCACUAUGUGGAGAAGAACCUUUAAAAUCAAUAGCAGAAGUUGCUGGCAGUGGUUAUCUCAGGAGGAUGGGACGCAGAGAUUUUCACUUUCCGUGUCAUGUAUCUCUGUGACAUUUACAUUUUAUUAAGCAGAUAUUUCUUUUUUGCUCGAGGAAAGAAAAACAAGCUCAAAUUUUAAGAAUUUGAAAAUAUAUAAAUCAGAAGAAGCAGACAUUACUUUUACAUAGAAUGGUAAAGUUUUAGGGUUUCUUUAAAAGUCAGUUGAAGGGAGGCCGGGUGCAGUGGCUCAUGACUGUAAUCCCAGCACUUUGGGAGGCCAAGGCAGGUGGAUCACUUGAGGUCAGGAGUUCAAGACCAGCCUGGGCAACAUGGCAAAACCCUGUCUCUACUAAAAAUUAAAAAAUUAGCCAGGCAUGGUGGCACAUGCCUGUAAUACCAGCUACUCAGGUGGCUGAGCACAAGAAUUGUUUGAACCGGGGAGGUGGAGGUUGCAAUGAGCCAAGAUUACUCCACUGCGUUCCAGCCUGGGCGACAGACUGAGAUUCCACUUCAAAAAAAAGAAAGAAAGAAAGAAAGUUAAUUGAAGGGAAAAAAAGCAAAUUCUGGGCCAGAUGUCCUGCUUAUGUCAUUAAGAUUUUUAUUCCCGUGACAUACUGAAGACACCCAUUACUCCAUCUCCACCAGACAAAACAGAUGAGCCUCCAAACAAGGUGAAAGCCCCGAAAAUCUCUUCCACAUCUCUCUCAGCCACACAGCACGAGUAUUAAGGAGAAUUUAUUUCCAUGGUUUUUAAGUCAUGAAAUCAGCAAAUUGAGUUUUCAAGAAAAUCAAAACGUAAAAACUAGAGGUUUAAAAGUCAUCCAACUGGUAUUAAAUGUCUAAAUGCGAUGAAAGAUGUGGAAACAAACUGGACUUCAUUCCUUGCAAUUUCAUAAUUCAUAGCCUAACCCUAGGACUAAGACAGCAACACUGCACACUUGAAUAUGUACUGAUUUGCUUCUGCUAAAGUCAAAAUGACCUGAAUCUCUGUCAUCAAUAAACAAAUCUUAGAACAAACAGUGCAACAUGCUGGGACAAUGCUGAAGUAGAAAGAGGGCCAGCCUGGGGUUGGACCAGCGUGUCUCGACCUCAGCACUACUGACAUUUUGAACCCGUUAAUUAUUUUUAUGGGAGGCUAUACUGUUCAGCUAGAUACCAUUUGU
Molecule: long non-coding RNA, 1629 nt
Filed under: Homo sapiens (human)
Lineage: Eukaryota; Metazoa; Chordata; Mammalia; Primates; Hominidae
Description: HSALNT0166457
Source: RNAcentral